UUACUAUAUUAUUUCCACAAAAUCAAAAACAAAGAGUUAAGUAUUAAAACCCAAGUCGUCGCUUGUCGGCGCAACAAAACAAAGAUUAAGUAAAAUUUCAUCAGUAUUGUCGAAAGGCAUUACACACCAAAUAACAUCCUAGACAGGGGAUCACUAGGCUCAUGGGUCGAUGAAGACCGCAGCUAACUGCGUGUUGUCAUGUGAACUGCAGGACACAUGAACAUCGACAAGUUGAACGCAUAUCGCACUUCUUGCUUUUUAUUCUAUUUAGUUAGAAUGGCUUGAGGUUCAUAUGGUUGAGUGCUAUAAUUUAUCAAUAGAACUGUUCUUUCGCAAGAAAGACGUACGUGUCAACUAUGAGACUAUGGCAACAUAGACUUAUAUUUGAUUAAAUCACGAGAUAUGAAAAAUCAAAUACAGUUAUCCACACUUGCUUGUUGGUAGCCUAUUUAACAUUUUAUAUGAUACUAUCAUUUCUUUGUAAAUUUUAUGUAGAUUAUAAAAGAAACAUGUUGAAUAUGGUGAAUCAAGUAUAUUGAAUUUGACUGUCUUUGCAUACUAUAAAUUAUACAUAGCCUCAACUCAUGUGAGACUACCCCC
This 600-nucleotide ribosomal RNA is filed under the name Simulium ruficorne. RNAcentral describes it as "eukaryotic LSU rRNA". The stretch from base 135 to 306 matches the Rfam family "5.8S ribosomal RNA". The record is from RNAcentral. Lineage: Eukaryota; Metazoa; Arthropoda; Insecta; Diptera; Simuliidae.